This 468-nucleotide ribosomal RNA is filed under the name uncultured bacterium. RNAcentral's name for it is "partial 16S ribosomal RNA". It matches the Rfam family "Bacterial small subunit ribosomal RNA", at positions 28 to 507 of the family's 1533-position model. The record is from RNAcentral.
GAUGAACGCUGGCGGCGUGCUUAACACAUGCAAGUCGAACGGAAAGGCCCUGCUUUUGUGGGGUGCUCGAGUGGCGAACGGGUGAGUAUCACGAGAGUAACCUGCCCCUGACUUUGGGAUAACUCCACGAAACUGGGGCCAAUACCGGCUAGGAGCUCCUGCUGCAUGGUGGGCGUUGGAAAGUUUCGGCGGUUGGGGAUGGAUUCGCGGCUUACCAGCUUGUUGGUGGGGUAGUGGCUUACCAAGGCUUUGACGGGUAGCCGGCCUGAGAGGGUGACCGGCCACAUUGGGACUGAGAUACGGCCCAGACUCCUGCGGGAGGCAGCAGUGGGGAAGAGUGCGCAGUGGGCGGCAGCCGGAUGCAGCAACGCCGCGUGCGGGAUGACGGCCUUCGGGUUGUAAACCGCUUUCGCCUGUGACGAAGCGUGAGUGACGGUAAUGGGUAAAGAAGCACCGGCUAACUACGUG